This 1028-nucleotide long non-coding RNA is filed under the name Homo sapiens (human). RNAcentral's name for it is "HSALNT0244187". Lineage: Eukaryota; Metazoa; Chordata; Mammalia; Primates; Hominidae. The record is from RNAcentral.
UCCUAUGUUGAAGCUGUAAUCCCCAGUGCAAUGGUGUUUGGAGAUGGGAUUUUGGGACUAAUCAGGUAGGGAUGAGGUCACGAGGGUGGGGCCCUCAUGAUGGGAUUAGUGCCCUUCAAAGAUGAGACCAGAGAACUUGCUCUGUCUCUGCCAUGUGAGGGCAUAGCAAGAAGAUGGCCACGUGCUUACCAGGAAGACAGCCCUCACCAGGAACCCAGUCGCACUUUCAGCUUCUGCAACUGUGAGAAAUAAAUGUCUGCUGCUCAAGCCCCCAAGUCUGUGGUGUUUCAUUAGAGCAACAUGAGCUAACACAGAACAGGCCUCUGCAGGGGGAGUUGUACUGUCCCUUCAGGUCCAGCCCAAAUGCGACCUUCUCUGAGAAACCUCCUCAUAUUUCUCCCUGGCAGAAUCCCUCUCUCCUUCCUACAAUCCUCUGUCUGCACUUCAGCUCUAACACUUACAUGCAACACAGUUCUUCCUUAAAAUGCUGACAGUUAUGUAUUCAUCUGCUACCACUUAAUUUUCCCGAACUCUGCCUAGCUCCUUCCAUUCCACCUCCUGAGCCAAUCCUAACUGAGGCAGGAAGGCUCUUGGAGUGGUCCCAUCAGUGCAUUUGACUGUUAGUCUCAGACCUGUCCAUUGAGCUGGACAAGUCUGAGGCCAGCUUGUUUCCUUGGCUAAGUCCCCUCUUGCCUCCAGAAAAGCCCAGCACUUGCUGAUGACUGCCAGGCUUUGACUGGAAUGUCCAGCUAUUUCCAACCAGAUUGUGACCCCAAAUGACAGAGAUAAUUGCUCAGUUAUGCCAUCUAGCAUGAUGUUUUGUACCUCACUGAUGCCUAAUAAAUGACCGUUGACUUAAUUUUUUAAUUUUUUAUUUUUGAGAUGGACUCUCACUCUGUUGCCCAGGCUGGAGUGCAGUGGUGUGAUCUCAGCUCACUGCAACCUCUGCCUCCUGGGUUCAAAUGAUUCUCCUGUCUCAGCCUCCCAAGUAGCUGGGAUUAUAGGCGCCCGCCACCACACCCAACUAC